AGUGAACGCUGGCGGCAGGCCUAACACAUGCAAGUCGAGCGGCAGCGGGUCCCCGCGAGGGGAUGCCGGCGAGCGGCGGACGGGUGAGGAACACAUCGGAAUCUGCCUGGUUGUGGGGGAUAACGUAGGGAAACUUACGCUAAUACCGCAUGCGACCCUGAGUCGACGGACUGGGGGUGAAAGUGAGGGACCUUCGGGCCUCACGCGACCAGAUGAGCCGAUGUCGGAUAGCUAGUUGGCGGGGUAACGGCUCGCCAAGGCGACGAUCCGUAGCUGGUCUGAGAGGAUGAUCAGCCACACUGGGACUGAGACACGGCCCAGACUCCUACGGGAGGCAGCAGUGGGGAAUCUUGGACAAUGGGCGC
RNAcentral lists this ribosomal RNA (365 nucleotides) under uncultured bacterium. RNAcentral's name for it is "bacterial SSU rRNA". It matches the Rfam family "Bacterial small subunit ribosomal RNA", at positions 30 to 378 of the family's 1533-position model. The record is from RNAcentral.